RNAcentral lists this long non-coding RNA (2361 nucleotides) under Gallus gallus (chicken). RNAcentral describes it as "lncRNA (ENSGALG00010016020.1)". Lineage: Eukaryota; Metazoa; Chordata; Aves; Galliformes; Phasianidae. The record is from RNAcentral.
UUUAAGGGCUGACUCCCAACAAGGAAGGCUGUCAAGCUGGAGAUUCUUCCUCUUGGAGCUCUUCUGUGAGCCCAGGACAUGGUUCGGUUCACAUCAGGAAUUAUAUCAAAGAUGAAACUGCCUGAGAACAAGUUUCGGGGUAUGUUAGUGGGAAUACUUGACUGCCAGGAGUCAAAGUCCCAGUGAAAAUCAUAUUGCAGAAGGCAUGAACCACUUUGGAGGAACCUACUUGGCAACACAAUAAGAUCCCAUCCGUUCAUGGGAGGGGAGGAAUCAUCUGCCAUCUUACUUCUCCUCUGUCCCCAGUCAGACAGAAAGUGCAGACAUACAGACAGAGGGUCACCCCUCACUUUUAGUGCCUAGAACAUCAGUGACACUACAGGAACUUGAGCAGAAUGUAAAUUUUUUUUCUCAUAUUUGCAAACCUGAAAAGAGAGUGAAAGACUGUUAUCUCUUCCAUAAGCUAUUUGGGAUGCUCCUACAAAGGGCUCUGAAAAAGCUAUGAAAGAUUAUACCUUGCAUGUACUGACUAUUUAAUACAUGAAUGUUUGGAUAUCUGUGAGAAUUAAAAGUUAUUUUGAUGUCAGAAGUAAAGCAAAGUCUUCCUCCUUUCCCUAGAGAAAAAUAAAUGCUUUUUUCUUGUAAGAGAAGCUUUUUUAUACAAGGGCUAAUUCUUGUUAAACUGGGCCUAAAGCAAUUAACCUAUUUCUUCCUGUCAGAUUUAAUUGUAAACUGACCUAAUUAAGACUAAAACCUGUGGUACACCUGUCUGCAUUGCAUUUUUGUAUUGAGUACAAAAAACAUCACAUCUGGAAUAGGCAGUGCACAGAGGAAUUAAACUUAAAUGUGGGGCUGCUGUGCUUUUUGAUAAGCAUUUCAGCAGCUAAGCAUUUCCAGCAGAUAAGGAGAGAGUCUGUUGAUUUCAGUGAGCACAAAAUGGGUCUCUUCUGAACUCUCCCUGGGUUCCUGUCAAUGAAAUUACUCUAGAUAUACACUGGUAUUAGUUACACAUGCAAGGAGUGAUCUAUUUUUAAGAAAUGAUCCAGAAUUUGAAGAGAACACACAGAGAAGCUGUAUUUUAAUAACUUCCCAUCCACUAAUUUCUAACAGUUUCAGGCAACUGCACAAACAUAUAGGUCCUGCUAUCUACUACUUGUUUAUUAGUGCACUAUGACAACAAGGAAACAUAUCUGGAACACACCAAGAUGCUCCUGUAAACUGAAAUUCCUUGUUAUACAGUCUAUCCCCCCCACUUUUUUUUUUUCUGCCAAGGGUAAAUCCUACCACCAGAAACUCAGCAUGCCAUUUGUGUUAUGUUUUGGUUUAAAGCAAAGUGGCCUGAAAUAUCCUUCCUUUUUAACAUACAGUUUGUUCAGCAUUUAAGUAAUUGGUGUUUAAUAUCUGUUCCAAAAGACUAAUCAGGGCAUAUAUACAGAUGUACAUAUGUGUGUAUGUAGAUGACAAAAUGGUACACCUAUACGUAACUCAAAGUUCUUUUCUAUACUACAGCUUGUAUGUAUUUGAGCUUGUACAGAGCCUGCCUAGAUGUGUCCUCGUUCUAUCUGAGAGCCUUGCCCUAAAUUACAGAUAAUUGAAAGUGGUCCAAAAGCGGAAGGCAGUCUGAGUACUUGAGGAAAAGUUAUAAAUACUUUAAAGAGCUUGUUAGAGCAGAAGGAAUCAUUUGACCGGGCUGAGGUCUGUAGUGUAUGUCAUUUUGCUUGAGGUUGUUUUGACUACAGUGGAUACUGCAUGGGAUGAUUGAAUAGUCCGGUUUCUACCCCCUUUGCCUGAAAAAAUGACCAGCAACCAGAACUAUCACAUUUUGACAGAUGGAAAACAGUGGUACAGCAGAUUUUGCAAGAACUUAAAGCUUUUUUUUUUUGUUUGGGAGGAUGCUCAGAAGUAUACUUUCACCUCUGCUGUGCACAAAAGUAGGAUGAAACAGAUUUUAAGAUUUGACUUAGCUCACACAUACUGAGCUAAGCCUAACAGAACUGUACAAAGAGAUCCUAUGGCCCCAUAAAUUUUGCAAGUUGCAAAAGGCCAUGGAUACAUCAACUGAUUCAUUUCUCUGGUGCUGGAAAACUGACUUUGCAGCAGUAACAUGCUGUACUUUAAAGGUCAGACAGAAUAGGACUCUGAUAAAUCAGGAUGAAAACCACAGAAUGGGCCCAUGAAAACAAAACAAGGAGCUUUAAAACAAGUAAGUAAUGAAGUAUGUAGAAUAGCCAGAACUCUCUUUUGGUCUGAUUAGAAUAGAAAACCUGUAAGUAGGAAAGGAGGACAUUUUCUGUUGCCUGCGGCAUUUUUCAAGUGCCCAUCACAGUACUAAGAUGACAUUAGAAUCAUUUUCUUCACUUU